UGGGUCAUUUCCAGUUGUUGAUUCCCGCAUUCUCUCCUUUGGGACAUCAUCUGACCUUAUCAGAGGGCCCAGGCCAGGGGACAGUGGGGGCCAAGCUACCUCCCGGCUCCCUGCUCAGUGCUCUCUAGUGGGACCCGCCCCUCCGCCGGCGCCUGAGACCUAGUUUUGGCCAAUCUUUCCUAGGGACACCUGUCCUUGAGCUGUCAUCCUCCAGUCGGCAUUAGUAGCCUAGAGGGCAGAAGACGACGGUUGGAGGAACUGGGUGACCUGGCUCUGGUCAGAGUGCAGGCUCUGGGCCAGGCUGCGGGGGUUUGAAUCUGGUCUGUCACUAAGCAGCUGUGUGACCUCACGCAGGCACAAGCCACUCGCUGGGAGCAAGCAGCAGCUGGGGUCCCUGGACCACUGCCACAGCACGGGGGACCCCCAGGUGAGCAAGGUGAGACUCAGAGAAGCUAAGCAACUUGCCCAAGAUCACACAGUGAGAGAGGCCUGGAUCGGAAUCAAAGGACCCACGAUGCACAGAGGAUUCCAGAGAGCAGGUAAAACCAGCAUCGCCCCCAUCUGGCUCCAUCUGGCAUCGAGUGUGUGAUGGAUGGAAAGGGCCCUGCAGGGUAAGCGUCCCAAAUGCCCCUUCCCUGGUAUUCAUGAGCCCCACCCUCGGGCCUGCCUGGUCCAUGCAGAGGUCCCCAGUGCUCCCAAACAGCGGCUCCUGCUGGCAGGUAGUGAGUUCUCCAUCGCGCGGGGGUAUUCCGGAUGAGAGGACAUGGCUGGGAGGGCUGAGCCCCAGCCUGGAGUGGGACUAGGUGAUCCCCCACUUCUCUCCCUGGGCCUCCCCAAGGGGGCCUCCUCCCAGCCAGGGGGACGGUCAGCGGUGCCCCCCGGGUGUCUCCUGCACACAGUCUCUGGAGAAAGUGGGGACUGGACAGACGGUCCAGAAGGAAGAGCCGAUGCUGCCGCUGUUCAGGUCCGGAAGCCGAGUGGCCUGCCCCAACAGGCAGUCUGUCUGUCUGUCAGGGGCCGGGGCCAGGGCCAGGGGCCUGGGUGAGGGCGGGGGCUGGGCUGUGGGACGCUGGAGUCCAGGAGGGCCCUCGGCUGUGCUCAGGGCCUUCCUCGUCCUCGUCCGCAGCUGCCCUGUGCCCAGCUCCUCCGGCUCCAGCUGGACCACCCCAAGCCAGCAAAGGCCGAGGAGCACAUUGGCUCACGUAAGGGACCCAAAUAAAUCUGGAUUUCAAGAGACAAUGGGCCCCACAGGCCUGCAAGUCCUCCUACCAGGGACCCACCAGGCAGACACAUACCGCCAAACUGGCCGGGCUCUGGGGGUAGGGCGCGGGCCAACUCUGGACCUGGAAAGAGGACUUGACCCAAGGCCAGCACAGUGGGGCCUGGUCCUGAUGGGGUGGUCAGGCCCUCUGGCAUUACUGAGAGGCCCCAGUGUCCCCCAGGGAACCCCAAGUACCCAUGAGCUCUUUUGAGGCCUGACGUUCCCUUUUCUUUGCCUCUGGAGGAGGGUGGGGGGCAUGGUGUGCACGUUCAGAUUUUGUAAAGAGACAAUGUCAGCUGGACACAGACAGACAGACAGAGGGGAGGCUGAGCAAGCUGGGGGGUGGAGGCGCUAGGACCAUGGGGGAUGUGUCGAGGGGCCCCAGCCUCAGGCUGGCUCCCAGGGGUGGUGCUGGGGAGUGAUGGGCUGGGGCAGGGGUGCAUAGGGGGUCUUGGAGGGCACCAGAGCCAGGCGCCUACCUAGCAGAGGCCUGGUCGUGUCCUGUCGGCGCUGCCCUGAGUGGGUGGGCUGGGAGAGGCCAGCGUGCAGAGCUCUCCGGCAGGGGGGCAGCUGCAGGGAUGGGGACUUCCGUCUCCCUUCAGGGCCCCCUCGGAGGCUCAGCCUGUUUUGUCUCCCAGCCCUUGGGUUUCACGGGAGUGAUUCCUUGGCAAAGCUGCCAGCCUGCACGGUGCCCUUUUAAUUAGUUUCUCCCAAAUUCCCUCUGUCACUCAGUUAUUAAUAUUUAUCUGGAGCACACCUGGUAUGAUGAGAUCCGGGGGCCCCGGGGGCAUGGAGGGCCGGCUGCCCCUUCCCCUUCAUCUCCCGGCCCAGUGCCCCCACCCGUCCUGCCCCCUCCACUCCCCGCGUCCCCUCCCUCCGGAAGCCCCCAGCCCCUCUCCUGUUUUGGGUGCCCCUCUCCUCCACCCCCCUCCCCGUAUCCCUCCCACCCCCCACUUGAGCGGGAAGCUGUGCAAGGUGGCUCGGAGGUGUGUGCCCAGGGUAGGGCGGGCUCCCCACUCCGAGCAGCGGCCCGCUGGGUGUGAAAUUAAAAGAAACGGCAACAAAGCCCCUUCUGCAGAAAACAAGAUGGAUCUGAGUGGCCCGGACUUCUUCCUGCUGAAAUGGGAAUUAGAGUGGAGGAUUAUUUCUGAGGACGCGGGGUCUCACUGUGCCCACACGCGCCUCCUUUUGCCCUGGGCCCCAGUGAGGCUUGCAGCACGGAGACCUGGCCUCCUGAGGCCUCAUGUGGGCAGGGGGCUCCCAGAGGCCCGUGGGCCAGGGCGGGCAUGUGAGCACCAGCCUGCUCCCCUCCCUCCUGGGAGACCAAUUCCUGGUGAGAAGCCCGGGCUUUGCAGAAACGCGACUGUUGCUGAAUCCCACAGCCAGGCCUGCGUCUCCAAUUCAUCAGACAGCUGAGAACAGGAGAGGAGCAGGCUGGGGCAGCCCACCUCCAGCCUGGCCCAAGGCCACCUGGUGUCCCAGUGCCUGGGGAGCAGGGCACGCCAAGCAGGCCCCAGUUCAAGCUCUGGAACUUGCUUUCUAGAAAGGAGAACACCCUAUGGGGGUUCCAGUCCUGUCUCUUAGGUCCCCAUCCAGGGCCCUGGGGGUGGAAGCCACAGGAGUCCCUACGUGUCACCAGGACACUUUAUGGUGGGGUGUCCCUUCUAACUGAAACUACUGUUAACGAGAUUCUGGGGACGCAGCAGCCUACUCGACAAGCAGGCCCUGCUGUUCUGCGUGAGUUUCAGGCCUGUGAUGGGGGUGGGGGUCCAUGCAGGGACCCAGAAGGCCAGGCCAGUUUGGUGAACCAGUAGCAGCCUUUCAGAGCCCAGGGGCAUCCCACCUUGUUGGGGACCCUGGGACCUCUUUGGGGCUGCCUUGGCAGCUGCACAACCAGGGAAGGGCAGUGGUCCUAUUGGUAGGACUGUCAAAUCUGCAGAAUCCUUGAGCCAUGGUGCUGGGGAGGGGCCAUGCAGAAGAGCCGGAGGGGCGGGGGAAGCUGCAGGCUGGAGGUGAGGGGGACCAAUGCCCAGCCUUGCUGCACUGUCUCACCUGCGGGCACCUGAAGGAACGCCUGUGGGAGCUGCUCCUCUUCCCACCUGCACUAACCUGAGUCCAGUUCCUGGGUCCCCCUGCCCCCGCCCCGAAAGACCCUGCCCCCAUCAACAGGGGGUGCAUUCCUGGCAAAAUGUGGAAGAGCCACGUUCUGUGUCUGUCUCCCUGCGAAGCAAGCAGCUCACCUCGUUGGAGACACCGUCACCCCUACCUCCCUGUGUACAGGACACCCCCCCGCCCCGGGCCACUCUGUUGCGGGCUGGCUGACUCUGAGCCCUGAAAGUUCACUUCCAUUUAUCUGCCUGGCUCUGGCAGUCCUGUGGCCCAGUUGAGCAGUAAGUUCAAGAGCUGGGAGGAACCGCCAGCUAAACCAUCAUUUGACAGAACCUGGGACGGAUCGGACAGCGGAGGGCGCUGGGCUUCGGAGAAAGGCAGAACAUGCCUGCAAGUAGGACCAACCUGCUGUCUGGAAGGAAACUGAGUCCUCACGUCAGAAAGCAGCCUUCCAGGUGAGCUGCUGGGAAAAGCCCGAACUCCCCCACUCGUUCCCGCCUCCUGCGCGUGUGGCCCUGGACAGAGGGAGGAGCCCCAGGAGGGACAAAGGGUGAAAUCCACAGCAAGAGGCUACACAGAGUUCUAGAAGGCAGAGUGGAUGGGACACCACGAGGUCAGCGACUCGAGUGGCUCUCCCAGCCCCGUGGCAGCACCUCAUGUGACCACGAGCGCCCCUGCCCAGCUCCCCCGACCAGGAGAGUGAACAGCUCCUUGGCUUGCUCUUCAUUAAUUCAUAAACUCUUGCUAACGUUUAUCAUCCUUCAGUCAUUAUUUGAACAGGGCCCCAUCCUUUACCCUUUUGAGGUCUUUUUAGUCCGUUUGAGUAUCCCUCUCCGAGUCUUCCACCCAUGCCCUGUAGCUGGUGUCCAGACAGACAUUGGCCACGGUCCUCCGGCAAGCCUGAUCCAAAGCUGGGACCUCCCACUCCAGGACCUCCAGCCCUUGCCCAUCGCUGGACUCUACUGUUAAAAAAUGCCAGACCAUUGUCCUCGCUCAUCAACCGGGAGCCACUAGGACCCUGGGUGUCUUUCUCUAUUGUGCUUAUUCACAGCCAAGGAAUCCACGAACUUUAUCAGCUGCCAUUGUGUCUGGCCUUGGGGAAGCCUUCGUGUUUUGUUGAACUGCACGUGUCUCUCGUUGGUUGGGGGGGGUUUGAACCUGCUUCUGCCUCCUGAGGGGCUGCCAUACCCAGCCCGUGGCACCAUGCCCCUGUUGCACCAUCCUAAUUUCAGCAUCCAAACAUCGACUUAGAAAAUCAUUGUCAUUCUCUCUAACGACUCGAAAUAUAAAGUACCCUCUUUUGUUCAGUGUCAAACUGCUGAUGGAAGAGCUGGUGGCAUCUGACCUGUCAAGACAGAUGUAUUAUCAUAUACGGAGACUGAAUGGCAUAUUUUCAAACCAUUUUGUCUAAAUUACACAGUCCUCGCCCCGGGAGCCCGAUCUGGUUACUCUCCUGAGAGGCAGAGAGCGGAGGGUGGGGGAGGGAAUGAGUUAAGGAGGAGCAAAGAUUUCUGGUGUCCCAAUGCCAAAAUCUGAAUGUGGCCCGUGAGGCCACUGGCAGGUGUCCUCUGGUCUGCAGAGGGCGUGAAGGCGGCCAGGCGGGUCUGGACCGUCCCCGGAUGGCCGUGCCCACGGGAAGCCAGCUGGCACCCUGUUCAGCAAUGAGGUCACUCCUGUGGCCUGGUAACCCUAGAGAUUCAGGCUCCAUUCUCAUGCCCUUUGCCUGACAAGGUUUCCCAGGCCUCAUCAGGCCCUGGUGCUCCUUUAUCUCCAGGAGGGUUAUGCCGAGGGGGAGGGGGCUGCAGCCAGCCUCCCAUGGGUUCUUUUCUGAAAGCUGGUGCUCCUUGAGAUGAGGGAAGUGGCAUGAUUGAAGCAGAGGCGAGGGGGCUGGCUUGAGGGCCCCCCUGCUCUGUGUGUGGGGGCGGGGGGCACUAUCUGGCAGCUUAUCCUCUGUGGGACGGGAUGGGGCAGAGAUGCAGGUGUGCCCAGGUGCCAGUGCCCCAGCCAACAAAGGAGCCGGACCUCAUGGGCUUCCUGGGGUUUGGACAGAGGGCGUCUGGGUGGCAACAACAGCCAGGAGCAGAGCGCGCCCUGUCCGUCUGCACGGGACCCUCCCACGCUGCUCCCUGCACACCCUCAGGUGGGCGGGCACAGAGGGAGAGACCCCUGUGAUAACGGAGACUGAGCUGGGUCGAUGAGGCUCGUAAUGGGCUUCAACUUCAUUGGAAGAACAUAAGGUUGGGGCCAGCCCAGUGGCGCAGUGGUUAAGUGUGCACGUUCCAUUUCUUGGUGGACCGGGGUUCGC
Non-coding RNA from Equus caballus (horse), 5675 nucleotides. The record is from RefSeq and is a predicted model, not a curated record. NCBI's taxonomy places the organism in Eukaryota, Metazoa, Chordata, Mammalia, Perissodactyla, Equidae.